Molecule: ribosomal RNA, 253 nt
Filed under: uncultured bacterium
Lineage: Bacteria
Description: partial 16S ribosomal RNA
Rfam family: Bacterial small subunit ribosomal RNA
Source: RNAcentral
UACAGAGGUCCCAAGCGUUGUUCGGAUUCAUUGGGCGUAAAGGGUGCGUAGGUGGCGCCGUAAGUCGGGUGUGAAAUUUCGGAGCUUAACUCCGAAACUGCAUUCGAUACUGCGGUGCUUGAGGAUUGGAGAGGAGACUGGAAUUCAUGGUGUAGCAGUGAAAUGCGUAGAGAUCAUGAGGAAGACCAGUGGCGAAGGCGGGUCUCUGGACAGUUCCUGACACUGAGGCACGAAGGCCAGGGGAGCAAACGGG